UACGUAGGGGGCAAGCGUUGUCCGGAAUCAUUGGGCGUAAAGAGCGUGUAGGCGGCCUGGUAAGUCCGCUGUGAAAGUCCAGGGCUCAACCCUGGAAUGCCGGUGGAAACUGUCAGGCUCGAGUCCGGAAGAGGCGAGUGGAAUUCCCGGUGUAGCGGUGAAAUGCGCAGAUAUCGGGAGGAACACCGGUGGCGAAGGCGGUUCUCUGGGCCUUACCUGACGCUGAGGAGGCCGAAAGCGUGGGGAGCGAACAGG
Molecule: ribosomal RNA, 255 nt
Filed under: uncultured bacterium
Lineage: Bacteria
Description: partial 16S ribosomal RNA
Rfam family: Bacterial small subunit ribosomal RNA
Source: RNAcentral